CCAUGGGAGUUCCAGGGAUCGUG
RNAcentral lists this microRNA (23 nucleotides) under Ornithorhynchus anatinus (platypus). Its description in RNAcentral is "Oan-Mir-1374_3p* (star (passenger))". Lineage: Eukaryota; Metazoa; Chordata; Mammalia; Monotremata; Ornithorhynchidae. The record is from RNAcentral.